RNAcentral lists this transfer RNA (73 nucleotides) under Proteiniclasticum ruminis. Its description in RNAcentral is "Clostridium sp. D3RC-2 tRNA". It matches the Rfam family "tRNA". Rfam says of the family: Transfer RNA (tRNA) molecules are approximately 80 nucleotides in length. Their secondary structure includes four short double-helical elements and three loops (D, anti-codon, and T loops). Further hydrogen bonds mediate the characteristic L-shaped molecular structure. tRNAs have two regions of fundamental functional importance: the anti-codon, which is responsible for specific mRNA codon recognition, and the 3' end, to which the tRNAs corresponding amino acid is attached (by aminoacyl-tRNA synthetases). tRNAs cope with the degeneracy of the genetic code in two manners: having more than one tRNA (with a specific anti-codon) for a particular amino acid; and 'wobble' base-pairing, i.e. permitting non-standard base-pairing at the 3rd anti-codon position. The record is from Rfam by way of RNAcentral. Lineage: Bacteria; Bacillati; Bacillota; Clostridia; Eubacteriales; Clostridiaceae.
GAUACUAAGAUAUAACAAGUAAAGUUUCUGAUUCGUAAUCAGCAGGUCGCCGGUUCGAUUCUGGCUAGUAGCU